Molecule: ribosomal RNA, 447 nt
Filed under: uncultured bacterium
Lineage: Bacteria
Description: bacterial SSU rRNA
Rfam family: Bacterial small subunit ribosomal RNA
Source: RNAcentral
UCGGGAAUUUUGGGCAAUGGGCGAAAGCCUGACCCAGCAACGCCGCGUGAAGGAUGAAGUAUUUCGGUAUGUAAACUUCGAAAGAAUAGGAAGAAUAAAUGACGGUACUAUUUAUAAGGUCCGGCUAACUACGUGCCAGCAGCCGCGGUAAUACGUAGGGACCAAGCGUUGUUCGGAUUUACUGGGCGUAAAGGGCGCGUAGGCGGCAAUUCAAGUCAUCUGUGAAAUCUCCGGGCUUAACUCGGAACGGUCAGAUGAUACUGCUUUGCUAGAGUGCAGAAGGGGCAAUCGGAAUUCUUGGUGUAGCGGUGAAAUGCGUAGAUAUCAAGAGGAACACCUGAGGCGAAGGCGGGUUGCUGGGCUGAUACUGACGCUGAAGCGCGAAAGCUAGGGUAGCAAACGGGAUUAGAUACCCCUGUAGUCCCUGAGCGGGCUGGCAAGGCGCAU